RNAcentral lists this ribosomal RNA (1242 nucleotides) under Triticum aestivum (bread wheat). RNAcentral's name for it is "partial small subunit ribosomal RNA". Lineage: Eukaryota; Viridiplantae; Streptophyta; Magnoliopsida; Poales; Poaceae. The record is from RNAcentral.
AUGUGGGCCGCGUCGUGCCUGGCGUCCUGCUGCGCCGCCUGCGCGUGCGAGGCGUGCCGCACCGCCGUCGGCAGCAUCGGCCGCCGCUCCGCGCGGAUCGCCUACUGCGGCCUCUUCGCGCUCUCCCUCCUCGCCUCCUGGGUGCUCCGCGAGGUCGCCGCGCCGCUCCUCCAGUCCAUCCCAUGGAUCAACCACUUCCACAAGACGCCGGACCGCGAGUGGUUCGAGACGGACGCCGUGCUCAGGGUCAGCCUCGGCAACUUCCUCUUCUUCACCAUCCUCGCCGCCAUCAUGGCCGGCAUCAAGGACCAGAAGGACCCGCGCGACAAGGUCCACCACGGCGGCUGGAUGGCCAAGAUCUUCUGCUGGGUCGUCAUCGUCUUCCUCAUGUUCUUCGUCCCCAACGGCGUCGUCAGCUUCUACGAAUCGAUUUCCAAGUUUGGAUCUGGACUGUUCCUUCUCGUUCAGGUUGUUCUUCUGUUGGACUUCGUGCACGGAUGGAAUGAGAACUGGGUUGCUAAAGAUGAACAGUUCUGGUACAUGGCUCUGUUGGUUGUAUCGGUUGUUUGUUAUAUUGGCUCAUUCGCUUUCUCGGGUCUACUCUUUCACUGGUUCACUCCAUCGGGGCAGGACUGCGGACUCAAUAUGUUCUUCAUUGUCUCCACACUGAUUCUUGUUUUUGUGUUCGCUAUUGUUGCGCUGCACCCAAAGGUCAAUGGAAGCUUGCUGCCUGCAUCAGUUAUAGGCCUUUACUGCACAUACUUGUGCUACAGCGGACUCUCCAGUGAGCCAAGGGAUUAUGAGUGCAACGGGCUUCACAAUCACUCCAAAGCUAUGUCAACUGGUAGCCUUACGUUGGGAUUAUGUACCACCAUCCUUUCUGUGGUCUACUCUGCUGUUCGUGCUGGCUCUUCUGCAACCGUGCUCUCAGCACCAGACUCACCACGCGCCGGUGCCGACAAGCCACUGCUCCCCUUCAGCAAAGCGGACGAGGAGGAGACUAAGGACGUGCCAAAGCCGGUGACAUACUCCUACUCGUUCUUCCACCUCAUCUUCUCCCUGGCAAGCAUGUACUCAGCGAUGCUCCUGACUGGCUGGUCGACCUCGGUUGGCGAGAGCGGAAAGCUUGUCGAUGUCGGGUGGCCGUCUGUCUGGGUCAGGAUCGCGACCCAGUGGGCAACAGCAGGUCUGUUCAUCUGGUCCCUUGUUGCUCCCCUCCUGUUCCCAGACAGGGAGUUCUAG